This 556-nucleotide ribosomal RNA is filed under the name Naganishia albidosimilis. RNAcentral describes it as "partial large subunit ribosomal RNA". It matches the Rfam family "Eukaryotic large subunit ribosomal RNA", at positions 56 to 615 of the family's 3401-position model. Lineage: Eukaryota; Fungi; Basidiomycota; Tremellomycetes; Filobasidiales; Filobasidiaceae. The record is from RNAcentral.
GAAAAGAAACUAACAAGGAUUCCCCUAGUAACGGCGAGUGAAGCGGGAAGAGCUCAAAUUUGAAAUCUGGUAGCCUUCGGUUGCCCGAGUUGUAAUCUAGAGAAAUGUUUUCCGUGCCGGCCCAUGUACAAGUCCCUUGGAACAGGGCGUCAUAGAGGGUGAGAAUCCCGUCCUUGACAUGGACCCCCGGUGCUUUGUGAUACAUUUUCAACGAGUCGAGUUGUUUGGGAAUGCAGCUCAAAAUGGGUGGUGAAUUCCAUCUAAAGCUAAAUAUUGGCGAGAGACCGAUAGCGAACAAGUACCGUGAGGGAAAGAUGAAAAGCACUUUGGAAAGAGAGUUAAACAGUACGUGAAAUUGUUGAAAGGGAAACGAUUGAAGUCAGUCAUGCUCUUUGGUAUUUAUAUCAUUGAGUGGGGUCAACAUCAGUUUUGAUCGAUGGAUAAAGGCACUAGGAAUGUAGCACUCUCGGGUGAACUUAUAGCCUAGCGUCAUAUACAUUGAUUGGGACUGAGGAACGCAGCAUGCCUUUAUGGCCGGGAUUCGUCCACGUACAUG